CUCUCUCUCUCUCCCUCUCUCUCAAUCACACGCACGCUCGCGCGCGAAGUGCCAGCUCUGCACCUUUGGGAUUCCAUUCCUGACAAUGUUACUAUUGCACCGAGCUGUGGCCUCCCAGUUUGUCUAUUAUGUCAAAAAUAAAUUUUUGUGCUUGAAAUAUUAUGCUGAACAUUUAUUUUGGCUGGGUUGUCUUGAAUUCUUUUGGAAGCCCUGAUGUCAUGACUCGAGAAGCCUUGAAAAAAGUGAAAUUUAUCUAUAUUAAAAUGGUUGUGUUCUAGUUCGAACAUUAUAUUCAACAUGCUGUGUUCCUCUAUGGAAAAUAUUUUUUGUAGCUUGCUUGCUUUGUGCAUUGUGAAUUAUUUUUUGUCACUGUUCAUGCUAACAUGUGAGCUGGUCAGGUUUUUGGAAUCCAUCUCUAGAUGCUAUAUGACUCAUUUUCUGUCACAAAAUUUUUCACAUCUGAGCCUAACAAGUUAAAAGUUCAAAAUAGGCGCUUCCUCUGGAAAGGCCAG
RNAcentral lists this unclassified non-coding RNA (512 nucleotides) under Hevea brasiliensis (rubber tree). The record is from RNAcentral. Lineage: Eukaryota; Viridiplantae; Streptophyta; Magnoliopsida; Malpighiales; Euphorbiaceae.